Molecule: ribosomal RNA, 545 nt
Filed under: Psammogobius biocellatus (sleepy goby)
Lineage: Eukaryota; Metazoa; Chordata; Actinopteri; Gobiiformes; Gobiidae
Description: partial 12S rRNA
Rfam family: Bacterial small subunit ribosomal RNA
Source: RNAcentral
CCCCCUGUGAGAAUGCCCUACCCCUUUCCCCUCAGUAAGGAAGGAGCAGGUAUCAGGCACAAAUUGAUCUUAGCCCAUGACACCUCGCCCAGCCACACCUCCAAAGGAACCCAGCAGUAAUAGACAUUAAGCAAUAAGUGUAAACUUGACUUAGUUAAUAUCAAGAGGGCCGGUUAAACUCGUGCCAGCCGCCGCGGUUAUACGAGAGGCCCAAGUUGACAGCCCACCGGCGUAAAGAGUGGUUAAUAGUUUCUUGACUAAAGCCGAACACCUCCAAGGCUGUUAUACGCACCCGAAGGCAGGAAGCUCUCCCACGAAAGUGACUUUAAAACACUAUGACCCCACGAACGCUAGGACACAAACUGGGAUUAGAUACCCCACUAUGCCUAGCCCUAAACACAAAUAUGACUUUACCCCCAUAUUCGCCAGGGAACAACGAGCCCCAGCUUAAAACCCAAAGGACUUGGCGGUGCUUUAGUCCCCCUAGAGGAGCCUGUUCUAGAACCGAUACUCCCCGUUCAACCUCACCCUCCCUUGUUUUCCCC